GUACCGCUUUGGCGGUACAUAUACUAAAAUUGGAACGAUACAGAGAAGAUUAGCAUGGACCCUGCGCAAGGGUGACACGUUACAAAAAAAAAAAAAGAGAAAAGAA
Small nuclear RNA from Schistocerca piceifrons (Central American locust), 106 nucleotides. The record is from RefSeq and is a predicted model, not a curated record. NCBI's taxonomy places the organism in Eukaryota, Metazoa, Arthropoda, Insecta, Orthoptera, Acrididae.